Molecule: long non-coding RNA, 2268 nt
Organism: Gasterosteus aculeatus aculeatus (three-spined stickleback)
Lineage: Eukaryota; Metazoa; Chordata; Actinopteri; Perciformes; Gasterosteidae
Source: Ensembl
GUCGAUAAAGCUUCAGGUCGACGUGUACGCCGAGCGCGGUUUGGAGAAACGUUGUGAAAGGGCGUGACGUGGACAUAUGCUAACGAUGGAGAAGCGGGCGUGUGCCGUGGGAGGACAGGAGCGACGUGGUGCCAAAGUGCCAACUGAAGGGGCUUUAAAUCCAGCCGCUGUCUAUUGUUCAUGGAGGUCGAGUGAUGCAGGCCCACACGUGACGCCCCCGCGCUGCCGCGCGUGACCUUGUUCCGGAUACAUGAUGAUCAUAAUUAACGUUGUGAUGAAGCCAGAUGCCUUCAUCGAUCAUCUGGACACGCCACUCGUGCUGCUUGUGCUGAAACCCGGCGGACGCUCUUCCUUCACUGUAAUAACACGAGUGUGUAAACCAAGUAUAAAAACUAAACCAACACUACACACAAGCAAUGGUGGUUGUGUGAAGACGCGCCUUUAUGUGCGUCCAUCCUGCCAACCACGUCCAGCAGGUUGCUGGAGGAGCGCCAUGUCUGUUGUUUCGGCCCCUCUUUGGAGGCUCGGCGGGGUCUUUCCCACCGGCUCAGGGUCCUGAGAAGAAACGUGUUCUCGUCCUUCUUCACCGUCAUUCAAUCACGUCACAGAGGGACAAACGCACACGGGACGCUUUCAAUGACAAUUUUACUGUUAAAAUAGAGAUCAGAAGAGAAGAGAUCAACUUCAGAGAGGUCAGCAGAACCUCUGUGGAAGACGUGAAUAUGCUGGAUGGGGAAGAUGAUUAAGAGCAUAAUGACCAAGGGCCAAUUUUAAAAAAUGCUGCAGCGGUUUGCUUCCCUUUGGAACUUCAAAGCGGGAAAAGAGACAAAACGGAGGGAACAGAAAUAGAGGGGAACAAUCUUUGCUGCUGGAAAAAAAAAAGCGAAAUGUACUUCAAGCACCUUGAAGUCUGAGUAAUAUGAGUUGUUGUCACAGAGAACGAUGAGAGCGAGGAAAGACGUGAGAUCUGGACCUUGGGCUUUGAUCUUUAGUAAGGCACUACUUGUAAUACUUAAACAUCAAAGCUACAAAGUGAGAGGAUCUUUCAAUCUGAGCCGCCGCUGCACAAAACAGCCGGCUGAGUGACUCCCACACAUUUCCAAAUUGGAAAAUGGGAAAUGCUUUGUAGUUUGUUUGGUGACAACAGACGCUUUCAGGACCAGCGGUGUUCAUUAGUGGAGCGGACCGAAAGCUCUCGAUGCUCAAAAAUCCACUUUGAGGAGUGGCAGGUUAUGGGAGAUUUAUUUGUUCAAUAUAUUUCGAGAUCUCAGUGAGAUUUUAGUCAUUUUAUUGAAAGUUUGACGACACCAUCAAUCAGUCCUCAACAGAAAAAGUUCAUACGUCUUCCUGACAAGGACGUUGUGCUUAAAUCAUCACUAAGCAUCCACCUGUUGGGUCAUUUCCUUUUACCUGUGCUCGAAAAAAGGAGAAAAUAAGACCACAUUUUGAAAAAAAAAACUAUUAUUGCAAAUAUUUGCUUGGAUUAAAAGAACUAAAUUUGAAGUGCAAUGGAAUUGCAGAGAAAGGUUGUGGAGUUAACAGCACUCAAAUGAGUUCUGAACCUCUUGAAACUUUUCUUUUCAUUACAUCAUCUCGCUUUGUCCUUUUCUUAUGCAAUGAUUAGUCGCCGGAGAUCCACACGGAUCCUUCACCAAAAAUCGACAUUAGCUUCUUCUCCCCAAAAACCACAUAUCUAAAUCUUUGAAGAUUACUUAUGAAAUACUCUUUCAAACGGGCUUUGAGAGACACUGAUACUUUUUUGAUGAUCUCUGUCGUUUAUUCUCAAAGAUUUAUUGACAAUAUCUUGGCGACAUUUCUUUUUCUUUUCGGGGAAUCCCAUUUCAGUGGAAUUAGACACUUUGCCACUUUGUGUUGCUUUUGCAAAAACCUUGACGGGAUGGUUGAUCACACACAAUAAUGUUGUUUUGGUUUGGAUAUAAAGAAUGCCGGGGGAAAUGCUCACUGUAGCUUAAGAGAAGAUCUAUACUACAUUCCGGCAGUAAACUGUCACUGUGCAGGAUUUGUAAUCGGGGCAAUGAUUGGCAGGUGAUGGCGUUCAGUCCAUAAAUCAUACGUGGAAACCAUUCUUCUCCAAUAAAAUGACUGAGGGCUUUUGAGUUCUCCAAACCGUGUUCCAAUCAGAUCCCCGGGACCACCUGGAGCUCCCGAGAGUCGGGCUGGUGCAGUGAUGCUAAUUGGACCUCGUCUGUCUCCCCCUGUCUCCCGUCAAUUAGUCGUCUUCUCCGGGGUGAUGGAGGUCUCAAUCAC